RNAcentral lists this small RNA (1069 nucleotides) under Pan troglodytes (chimpanzee). RNAcentral describes it as "processed transcript". The record is from RNAcentral. Lineage: Eukaryota; Metazoa; Chordata; Mammalia; Primates; Hominidae.
AGAAGGGGAGGGUGCGGCUGCAGAGAAUUGAGACUUAGAAGCUUUGAAUUCCUGUAUCUGAGAACGGAGUCGUUGGGGGUGGUGGAGGGGGUUGGAAUUGGGGACCUACGGAAGGUGAGGAUCAGCCUCCAGGCACAACAGGGGAGAGGACGUUCAGUGGGCUUCAACUUGACCCAGGCCUUCUCCCCUUCAGGCUCAGCUCUUGCCAGGCCAAAUUGAGACAUGUCUGACACCAGCGAGAGUGGUGCAGGUCUAACUCGCUUCCAGGCUGAAGCUUCAGAAAAGGACAGUAGCUCGAUGAUGCAGACCCUGUUGGCAGUGACCCAGAAUGUGGAGGUCCCAGAGACACCGAAGGCCUCAAAGGCACUGGAGGUCUCAGAGGAUGUGAAGGUCUCAAAAGCCUCUGGGGUCUCAAAGGCCACAGAGGUCUCAAAGACCCCAGAGGCUCAGGAGGCACCUGCCACCCAGGCCUCAUCUACUACUCAGCUGACUGAUACCCAGGUUCUGGCAGCUGAAAACAAGAGUCUAGCAGCUGACACCAAGAAACAGAAUGCUGACCCGCAGGCUGUGACAAUGCCUGCCACUGAGACCAAAAAGGUCAGCCAUGUGGCUGAUACGAAGGUCAAUACAAAGGCCCAGGAGACUGAGGCUUCACCCUCUCAGGCCCCAGCAGAUGAACCUGAGCCUGAGAGUGCAGCUGCCCAGUCUCAGGAGAAUCAGGAUACUCGGCCCAAGGUCAAAGCCAAGAAAGCCCGAAAGGUGAAGCAUCUGGAUGGGGAAGAGGAUGGCAGCAGUGAUCAGAGUCAGGCUUCUGGAACCACAGGUGGCCGAAGGGUCUCAAAGGCCCUAAUGGCCUCAAUGGCCCGCAGGGCUUCAAGGGGUCCCAUAGCCUUUUGGGCCCGCAGGGCAUCAAGGACUCGGUUGGCUGCUUGGGCCCGGAGAGCCUUGCUCUCCCUGAGAUCACCUAAAGCCCGUAGGGGCAAGGCUCGCCGUAGAGCUGCCAAGCUCCAGUCAUCCCAAGAGCCUGAAGCACCACCACCUCGGGAUGUGGCCCUUUUGCAAGGGAGGG